Molecule: unclassified non-coding RNA, 1247 nt
Filed under: Hevea brasiliensis (rubber tree)
Lineage: Eukaryota; Viridiplantae; Streptophyta; Magnoliopsida; Malpighiales; Euphorbiaceae
Source: RNAcentral
AAUCUCUUUCCCACUUCUCCAAUGGAUGCUCUCUUUGUCAAUUCAUCUCUCUCCCGACUCAAACUCAAAUUCUCUUCUCAAUUUCCUACAUUCUCUCCCCUGCCCCAUCACUCUUAUCUCCCACUUAAAAAACUUAAUUUACCACUUGUAUUUGCCACGCUUCAGAACCAACACCAGCAACAAUCAGCAGCCGAAGAAGUAGCACAAGAAGAAUUUGAAGAUUACGAUGCCGACGAAACGUAUGGAGAAGUUAACAAAAUCAUUGGGAGUCGAGCAAUUGAAGGUGGGAAAGGAAUGGAGUAUUUGAUUGAGUGGAAAGAUGAACAUGCCCCUACCUGGGUUCCCUCUAAUUUCAUCGCACAAGAUGUUGUCGCUGAGUAUGAAACCCCUUGGUGGAACGCUGCGAAAAAGUCAGAUGAAUCGGCUCUUCGGGAACUUAUUGAAGCCGAGGACGACAGAGAUGUGGAUGCUGUUGAUGACGAUGGACGAACGGCUUUGCUCUUUGUUUCGGGACUCGGGUCGGAGCCUUGCGUCAAGCUGCUCGCUGAAGCCGGCGCCGACGUCAAUUACCGCGACAGGAGCGGCGGUUUGACGGCUCUGCAUAUGGCUGCAGGAUAUGUGAAGCCUGGAGUCGCUAAGCUGUUAAUUGAGCUCGGCGCAGACCCCGAGGUGCAAGAUUACAGAGGGCAGACGCCGCUGAGCUUAGCGAGGAUGGUCUUGAAUCAAACACCUAAAGGAAACCCAAUGCAAUUCGCGAGGAGAUUGGGAUUAGAGAAUGUGAUUAGGGUAUUGGAGGAUGCAAUUUUUGAGUAUGCACAAGUGGAGGAGAUAUUGGAGAAGAGAGGAAAAGGUGAAAAUGUUGAAUAUUUAGUGAAAUGGAAGGAUGGGGAGGAUAAUGAAUGGGUUAAAGCAUGGCUGAUAUCUGAGGAUUUGGUGAGAGAUUUUGAGGCUGGAUUGGAAUAUGCAGAGGCAGAGUGCAUCUUGGAGAAGAGAGAGGGUGACAACGGGAAAGGCGAGUACUUGGUUAAAUGGACUGAUAUUGAGGAGGCUACUUGGGAACCAGAAGAAAAUGUUGACCCCCUUCUGAUAGAAGAUUUUGAAAAAGGUCAACAGAAAGUAGUAAGUUGAAUUCAUGGUUUCUCUUUUGGCUUGUAUUUUUCUUUUUCUGUGGUAAUAUAAUGCUCUUUUGUUUUAUAAACUAUAGUUGUGGUAAUGUAUGUAAUUCUGAGGUUGUCUAACAGGUUGAG